UGGGGAAUAUUGCACAAUGGGCGCAAGCCUGAUGCAGCCAUGCCGCGUGUAUGAAGAAGGCCUUCGGGUUGUAAAGUACUUUCAGCGGGGAGGAAGGGAGUAAAGUUAAUACCUUUGCUCAUUGACGUUACCCGCAGAAGAAGCACCGGCUAACUCCGUGCCAGCAGCCGCGGUAAUACGGAGGGUGCAAGCGUUAAUCGGAAUUACUGGGCGUAGAGCGCACGCAGGCGGUUUGUUAAGUCAGAUGUGAAAUCCCCGGGCUCAACCUGGGAACUGCAUCUGAUACUGGCAAGCUUGAGUCUCGUAGAGGGGGGUAGAAUUCCAGGUGUAGCGGUGAAAUGCGUAGAGAUCUGGAGGAAUACCGGUGGCGAAGGCGGCCCCCUGGACGAAGACUGACGCUCAGGUGCGAAAGCGUGGGGAGCAAACAGG
This 429-nucleotide ribosomal RNA is filed under the name Chloroflexota bacterium. Its description in RNAcentral is "Chloroflexi bacterium partial 16S ribosomal RNA". It matches the Rfam family "Bacterial small subunit ribosomal RNA", at positions 355 to 776 of the family's 1533-position model. Lineage: Bacteria; Bacillati; Chloroflexota. The record is from RNAcentral.